This 230-nucleotide ribosomal RNA is filed under the name uncultured bacterium. Its description in RNAcentral is "partial 16S ribosomal RNA". It matches the Rfam family "Bacterial small subunit ribosomal RNA", at positions 131 to 354 of the family's 1533-position model. The record is from RNAcentral.
CUUUAGACUGGAACAACUUACCGAAAGGUGAGCUAAUGCCGGAUGAGUUAUAUAAGUGCAUGUUUAUAUAGGAAAAGUUGGGGAGACCUGACGCUGAAAGAUGGACUCGCGUCCCAUUAGCUAGUUGGUAGGGUAAUGGCCUACCAAGGCGACGAUGGGUAGCCGGCCUGAGAGGGUGGCCGGCCACACUGGGACUGAGACACGGCCCAGACUCCUACGGAAGGCAGCAG